This 225-nucleotide ribosomal RNA is filed under the name uncultured bacterium. Its description in RNAcentral is "partial 16S ribosomal RNA". It matches the Rfam family "Bacterial small subunit ribosomal RNA", at positions 28 to 253 of the family's 1533-position model. The record is from RNAcentral.
GACGAACGCUGGCGGCGUGCUUAACACAUGCAAGUCGAGCGGUAAGGCCCUUUCGGGGGUACACGAGCGGCGAACGGGUGAGUAACACGUGGGUGACCUGCCCUCAGCUCUGGGAUAAGCCUGGGAAACUGGGUCUAAUGCCGGGAUAUGACUCCAUGACGCAUGUUGUGGGGUGGAAAGCCUUGUGCGGCUGAGGAUGGGCCCGCGGCCUAUCAGCUUGUUGGG